UAUUUAAAAAUAAUAAAAUAUAUCAAUUAUUUAUAUAGCUUUACAUUGUAUUAGGUAUUAUAAAUAAUCUACAGAUGAUUUAAAGCAGGGAUGUCCAAUCUUUUGGCUUCCCUGGGCCACUUUGGAAGAAGAAUUGUCUUGGGCCACACAUAAAAUACACUAAUUAUAGCUGUUGAGGUAAAAAUAAAAAUCACAAAAAAAAACCUCAAUGUUUUAAGAAAGUUUAUGAAUUUUUGUUGGGCUGUAUUCAAAGCCAUCCUGGGCCACAGGUUGGACAUUCUUGAUUUAAAAUAUACAGGAGGGGCUGAGGCAGUGCCUCAUGCCUGUAAUCCCAGCACUUUGGGAGGCCCAGGCGGGCAGAUCAUUUGAGGCCAGGAGUUCAAGACCACCCUGGCCAACAUGGCGAAACCCGUCGCUACUAAAAAUACAAAAAUUAGCUGGGUAUGGUGGUGCACACUUAUAAUCUCAGCUACUAAGGUGGCUGAGGCAGGAGAAUCACUUGAACCUGGGAGGCGGAGGUUACAGUGAGCUGAGAUAGUGCCAGUACACUCCAGACUGGGCGACAGAGUGAGACUUUGUCUCAAUAAAUAAAUAAAUAAAUAGUAUACAGAAGGAUGUGCAUAGGUUAUGUGCAAAUACUAUGCCGUUUUGUAUUAGGUACUUGAGCAUCCCCAGAUUUUGGUAUCUAUGGGAAUCCUGGAACCAAUCCCCCACUGGUGCUGAGGGAUCAGACUGUACAUCUGAUUGCCCAGUGUCUCCACCAUGCCAUUGGAGUCUGUUCCUCCAGUUACAGUUGAGAAACAAGUGAGUCUCGUGGAAAGGGACAAAAACCUGAAUGAGAUGCCUCUACCCAGGGAGGGACUGAAAUUGAUCACAAAGUGUCUCCUCCAAGAAGCUGGAAGCUUGUUAGAACUAUUCAUGAAAAAUAAUUCUAUGAGUGUUUUCCUUUAAGGUAAGUUCUAUUUCUUCAGAAGGACAAAACAAAACAAAACAAAAGGGUAAGGAAGAGGAAGGGCCCCCUUUCAACCAAAGUCCAGAAGCCCUCUGAAGGUGAGUGACCCACCCAGGCUCCUCCUCAUCUACCCCUUGACUCUUCCCUCCCAAGACGCCUUACCCUGUCCUCGCCUGGCACAAUCCCUACCCCAGCCUGCACCCUUUAUUGAUGAAACCCCCAUUCCCACCCCUCCCCCAUCCUCUUCCCCAAAACCAGUGCCCUUCUGUGAUCUCCCUGUUGUCCUUCUAAGUUCCAAAGACAACCUGGAAGGGAAAAGGGACCCUUCGAGAAAGUUCCAGGAAAAAAACCACUCCCAAAAAGACUACCACUUCAAGAAAACCCGAGGAAGGGAAUGGGCCAGCACUAUCCAGCCACUAUGACCAGCUGAAUAGGAAACUCACUCAAAAUGAGCCAUAGCAGGACCAAGUUAGCCAGGAGACCUCCACAAUCUCCAGCGUCUCCCUGGACAGCCAGUAAUUUCAAGGCAAGUUCAGAGGCCUAGAUCUAUCUGAGAGGUCUCCAGAGAUCUGACCCCAGAGAACUAGCUAGCAGGGUCUAGGAUACAUUCUAUACCCCACAGGGUACGCCCCAUGGUGAUGAAAAUAAAAUGAAUCUGUUGUAAAAUGAUGUGAGUGUCUUCAUGUUCUAGGAUGGUGGGGAGGGAGGAAGGAGGGAAGAGGUGGUGUGU
RNAcentral lists this long non-coding RNA (1682 nucleotides) under Pan troglodytes (chimpanzee). RNAcentral's name for it is "lncRNA (ENSPTRG00000053717.1)". The record is from RNAcentral. Lineage: Eukaryota; Metazoa; Chordata; Mammalia; Primates; Hominidae.